AAAUAUUUAUAUAUAUACAUAUCAGUUGGCAAUAUAUUUUAUACUUGCAGUACACUAAUGAAUGUCAUUUGCAUGUCAUACCUUCCUCAUCACUUGAUGUAUGGAGAUCUUCAUCAAAGACAACAUCCAUAUAAGGAGAAUAAACAUCAAAAUCCUCCUCGUCUGCAUGGACAGAAAAGCAGAAGGGAGGAUGGGAAAUGUGAGUAAGACCAUAACUUGCUUUGCAUUAAGAUUUUGAUUCCAUACCUGGCUCCAUGUUUAGAUGACAAAUUUCUUGUGCACUCCGGCCAUUGGAGAGUUCAACUGCUUGCAUGGCAGGGUCUGGAUGUUCAUCUUCAUGAGCACCAAAACAUUGGUUGUCAGGAAGCUCUUCAUCUUCAUAUUGGAAGGCAUCUUCUCCUUGCACAGCAGGAUCCAGGUUAAGGUCAGGGAUCCCAUCACCUUCAUCUUGUAGCACUUCUUGCACACCAAGAUCAAGGUUGAGAUCAGGAAUCUCAUAUUCCUCUUCUUCCAUGGAUUAGUUGAGGGUCUCUCUUGGUGUAAUGCUGGAGUAGGUUGCUAAUAUGAGUGUAAUAUGAGAGCUUUGGUUUUUAGACCUGUGAGUGAGAGCAAGGGAGUGAAAAUGGCGGGUUGGUUCUGAGCAUCAAGUUUAAAUUUUGAACAGCUAAUGCCUGUGUAUUUGUGGCGCUAAUGUGUAGUGCGUGUGAAUUUUGGGCAGCAAAGAGGUGAGUGGGAUUUAAUUGACUCUUGUCAA
Oryza sativa Japonica Group (Japanese rice) is the source of this 754-nucleotide non-coding RNA. The record is from RefSeq and is a predicted model, not a curated record. NCBI's taxonomy places the organism in Eukaryota, Viridiplantae, Streptophyta, Magnoliopsida, Poales, Poaceae.